UGUUUGAGAACAGCAAUUCAAUAUCCAAUUGCAAAUGAAAUGUUCACUAUGUUCUCAACAUACCUCAUGAUCAGAUGUAAGUGUAUGCCUAGUAGGCAAAUGAUGCGAUGCGGUAAUGGGGAAUCAGGGUUCGAUUCCGGAGAGCGAGCCUGAGAAACGGCUAUCACAUCCAAGAAAGGCA
RNAcentral lists this non-coding RNA (181 nucleotides) under Salmo salar (Atlantic salmon). RNAcentral describes it as "Eukaryotic small subunit ribosomal RNA". It matches the Rfam family "Eukaryotic small subunit ribosomal RNA", at positions 234 to 427 of the family's 1831-position model. The record is from Rfam by way of RNAcentral. Lineage: Eukaryota; Metazoa; Chordata; Actinopteri; Salmoniformes; Salmonidae.